RNAcentral lists this ribosomal RNA (684 nucleotides) under Salmonella enterica subsp. enterica serovar Typhimurium. RNAcentral's name for it is "partial 23S ribosomal RNA". It matches the Rfam family "Bacterial large subunit ribosomal RNA", at positions 566 to 1190 of the family's 2925-position model. The record is from RNAcentral. Lineage: Bacteria; Pseudomonadati; Pseudomonadota; Gammaproteobacteria; Enterobacterales; Enterobacteriaceae.
UGAAGGCCCUGCAAAGCAGCAUCGCGGUGGCGGAGCGUCGUUUGCGACGCCCAACACACAAAACAAGCGGUGAAUGCUUUGGGGUGGGGUGACUGCGUACCUUUUGUAUAAUGGGUCAGCGACUUAUAUUCUGUAGCAAGGUUAACCGAAUAGGGGAGCCGGAGGGAAACCGAGUCUUAAUUGGGCGUUAAGUUGCAGGGUAUAGACCCGAAACCCGGUGAUCUAGCCAUGGGCAGGUUGAAGGUUGGGUAACACUAACUGGAGGACCGAACCGACUAAUGUUGAAAAAUUAGCGGAUGACCUGUGGCUGGGGGUGAAAGGCCAAUCAAACCGGGAGAUAGCUGGUUCUCCCCGAAAGCUAUUUAGGUAGCGCCUCGUGAAUUCAUCUCCGGGGGUAGAGCACUGUUUCGGCUAGGGGGCCAUCCCGGCUUACCAACCCGAUGCAAACUGCGAAUACCGGAGAAUGUUAUCACGGGAGACACACGGCGGGUGCUAACGUCCGUCGUGAAGAGGGAAACAACCCAGACCGCCAGCUAAGGUCCCAAAGUCAUGGUUAAGUGGGAAACGAUGUGGGAAGGCCCAGACAGCCAGGAUGUUGGCUUAGAAGCAGCCAUCAUUUAAAGAAAGCGUAAUAGCUCACUGGUCGAGUCGGCCUGCGCGGAAGAUGUAACGGGGCUAAACCAU